This is a non-coding RNA of Acanthosepion pharaonis, 90 nucleotides long. NCBI's taxonomy places the organism in Eukaryota, Metazoa, Mollusca, Cephalopoda, Sepiida, Sepiidae. The record is from the annotation of a GenBank genome assembly.
CAUUGAAACACCCGUUCCCAUAUGAUCACAAGUUAAGCAAUGCUGAACCUGGUCAGUGCUUAAAUGGGUGACCGCUUGGGAAAACAUGGA